RNAcentral lists this microRNA (17 nucleotides) under Rattus norvegicus (Norway rat). RNAcentral describes it as "rno-miR-299b-3p". Its record names the gene rno-miR-299b-3p. The record is from miRBase by way of RNAcentral. Lineage: Eukaryota; Metazoa; Chordata; Mammalia; Rodentia; Muridae.
UAUGUGGGACGGUAAAC